This 253-nucleotide ribosomal RNA is filed under the name uncultured bacterium. Its description in RNAcentral is "partial 16S ribosomal RNA". It matches the Rfam family "Bacterial small subunit ribosomal RNA", at positions 524 to 776 of the family's 1533-position model. The record is from RNAcentral.
UACAGAGGGUGCGAGCGUUGUUCGGAAUCACUGGGCGUAAAGCGCGUGUAGGCGGCCCACUAAGUCUGAUGUGAAAGCCCGGGGCUCACCCCCGGAAGUGCAUUGGAAACUGGUGGACUCGAGUCCCGGAGAGGAGAGUGGAAUUCCUGGUGUAGCGGUGAAAUGCGUAGAUAUCAGGAGGAACACCGGUGGCGAAGGCGGCUCUCUGGACGGUGACUGACGCUGAGACGCGAAAGCGUGGGGAGCAAACGGG